GCGCUUGUAGCCCAAUUGGAUAGAGCGUUGGCCUCCGAAGCCAAAGGCUGAGGGUUCGACCCCCUCCAAGCGCG
This 74-nucleotide transfer RNA is filed under the name bacterium (Candidatus Ratteibacteria) CG23_combo_of_CG06-09_8_20_14_all_48_7. RNAcentral describes it as "tRNA-Arg". It matches the Rfam family "tRNA". From Rfam's summary of the family: Transfer RNA (tRNA) molecules are approximately 80 nucleotides in length. Their secondary structure includes four short double-helical elements and three loops (D, anti-codon, and T loops). Lineage: Bacteria; Candidatus Ratteibacteria. The record is from RNAcentral.